Molecule: ribosomal RNA, 253 nt
Filed under: uncultured bacterium
Lineage: Bacteria
Description: partial 16S ribosomal RNA
Rfam family: Bacterial small subunit ribosomal RNA
Source: RNAcentral
UACGGAGGAUCCAAGCGUUAUCCGGAAUUAUUGGGUUUAAAGGGUCCGUAGGUGGUUAUUUAAGUCAGAGGUGAAAUCCUGCCGCUUAACGGUAGAACUGCCUUUGAUACUGAUUAACUUGAGUUAUUGUGAAGUAGUUAGAAUAUGUAGUGUAGCGGUGAAAUGCAUAGAUAUUACAUAGAAUACCGAUUGCGAAGGCAGAUUACUAACAAUGUACUGACGCUCAUGGACGAAAGCGUGGGGAGCGAACAGG